GAUGAACGCUGGCGGCGUGCCUAAUACAUGCAAGUCGAGCGAACAGACGAGGAGCUUGCUCCUCUGACGUUAGCGGCGGACGGGUGAGUAACACGUGGAUAACCUACCUAUAAGACUGGGAUAACUUCGGGAAACCGGAGCUAAUACCGGAUAAUAUAUUGAACCGCAUGGUUCAAUAGUGAAAGACGGUUUUGCUGUCACUUAUAGAUGGAUCCGCGCUGCAUUAGCUAGUUGGUAAGGUAACGGCUUACCAAGGCAACGAUGCGUAGCCGACCUGAGAGGGGGAUCGGCCACACUGGGACUGAGACACGGUCCAGACUCCUACGGGAGGCAGCAGUAGGGAAUCUUCCGCAAUGGGCGAAAGCCUGACGGAGCAACGCCGCGUGAGUGAUGAAGGUCUUCGGAUCGUAAAACUCUGUUAUUAGGGAAGAAAAAAUGUGUAAGUAACUAUGCACGUCAUGACGGUACCUAAUCAGAAAGCCACGGCUAACUACGUG
RNAcentral lists this ribosomal RNA (497 nucleotides) under uncultured bacterium. RNAcentral describes it as "partial 16S ribosomal RNA". It matches the Rfam family "Bacterial small subunit ribosomal RNA", at positions 28 to 507 of the family's 1533-position model. The record is from RNAcentral.